UGUAUCUGAAGCCUGACGAGGAUGAGAACCUCCGGGGGCAAGAGGUUCGACCCGAGCGAAGCGAGAGAACGUUGCGUCAGCAACGGCCCGCAGGGCGAGC
This 100-nucleotide small RNA is filed under the name Salmonella enterica subsp. enterica. RNAcentral's name for it is "partial RtT sRNA". It matches the Rfam family "RtT RNA", at positions 1 to 96 of the family's 130-position model. From Rfam's summary of the family: This family represents a bacterial cis-regulatory element known as RtT RNA. The record is from RNAcentral. Lineage: Bacteria; Pseudomonadati; Pseudomonadota; Gammaproteobacteria; Enterobacterales; Enterobacteriaceae. RNAcentral also lists the same sequence under 4 other names.